Molecule: ribosomal RNA, 205 nt
Filed under: uncultured bacterium
Lineage: Bacteria
Description: partial 16S ribosomal RNA
Rfam family: Bacterial small subunit ribosomal RNA
Source: RNAcentral
CACGCAGGUGGUUGUCUAAGACGGACGUGAAAGCUCCUGGCUUAACUGGGAGAGGUCGUUGGUGACUGGAUGACUUGAGGCGAGGAGAGGGGUGUAGAAUUCCCGGUGUAGUGGUGGAAUGCGUAGAGAUCGGGAGGAAUACCAGUGGCGAAAGCGACACCCUGGCCUUGCCUGACGCUCAGGUGCGAAAGCGUGGGGAGCAACG